GGGGUAAGAUGGGUUCAUAGAUUGACUUCUAAUCAUUUUCUAUUUUGGUUCAAUUCCAAAUUACUCCU
This 68-nucleotide transfer RNA is filed under the name Physconelloides eurysema. RNAcentral's name for it is "tRNA-Ser". Lineage: Eukaryota; Metazoa; Arthropoda; Insecta; Psocodea; Philopteridae. The record is from RNAcentral.